RNAcentral lists this long non-coding RNA (241 nucleotides) under Lathyrus oleraceus (garden pea). RNAcentral's name for it is "Pisum sativum (pea) long non-coding RNA (PSAT_LNC032297)". Lineage: Eukaryota; Viridiplantae; Streptophyta; Magnoliopsida; Fabales; Fabaceae. The record is from RNAcentral.
AACUUCAAUCGUUUUCAACUUCUUCCUUUGAAGGAAAUGAUGGAUUAUAUGGUCCUCCAUUGGAUCUAAUGUGUGUGCUAAUUAGUAUAUUAGUAUUUUGUAUUUCUGCAUUUGCUGUUGUUUCUAGUGUGAAAAUGUAUAACAGCUUUUAAUAUUCCCGUAAAGUGUGGAAGACUAGUUUCCGACUUACUUUCUGUUUUGUGCACAAUAUAUUUCAUAUGAAUUUCUGCAUAUUAUUCUA